GUGGAUUAGAUACCCUAGUAGUCCACGCUGUAAACGAUGAGUGCUAGGUGUAGGGGAUUUCGACAUCCUCUGUGCCGCAGCAAACGCAAUAAGCACUCCGCCUGGGGAGUACGGUCGCAAGACUAAAACUCAAAGGAAUUGACGGGGGCCCGCACAAGCAGCGGAGCAUGUGGUUUAAUUCGAAGCAACGCGAAGAACCUUACCAGGACUUGACAUCGUCUGAAUAGUGCAGAGAUGCAUGAAGCCUUUCGGGGCAGAUAGACAGGUGGUGCAUGGCUGUCGCCAACU
This 288-nucleotide ribosomal RNA is filed under the name uncultured bacterium. RNAcentral's name for it is "partial 16S ribosomal RNA". It matches the Rfam family "Bacterial small subunit ribosomal RNA", at positions 773 to 1060 of the family's 1533-position model. The record is from RNAcentral.